GUGGGGUUGUCCAACUGGAAGAGAAGAUGGGAAGGACAGGGAAGUCUUCAUAGACUGAGGUGUUGCCUGGCCAGAGUCCAUUCUCUCUUCUUCCAGAAAUAGACCCCCAAUUCCCUUUAGGGAACCGUCUCUCACCCACCCUCUGUCCUCAUAGUUCAUGCUGGGUUCCACCCCCAUCCUAGGCCGAUCAACAACCUGGUCUCCCUCAGGACUGUUUAUAUAGCAUGCACAUUUAUGACUGUUGCGGGAGUGGUUAUAUGAUCAGGCCUGGCCUAUCGCUGGAUACAGAAAUUGGUUCCAGAGUGGACAUUUGAUCCAAUCAGAGUGAAAUAGGAAGUGGGCAGAAGUUAUCAGAAGUCCAGAAGACAGGCUUUCUUUCUGCUGGCCUUGAACCGGAAGUAAUAAGCCUGGAGCUGCCAGGAGCCGGUGUGUAGGGAGGGCAGUGCCAGAGCGAAGCAAACCAGAGACAGGCCAGCCUGCAAACUGAAGAGAGGCCAGGUCCUGGGGACAUGGAGGAGCCACGAGGCUUUGGGUGUUUUUAAAACAGCAGGGAGCUGAGGAUACUUGUCUAGAGGAGAGGGAGAGAUCGGGGAAGAAGGAAAUGGCAUCCUAGAGGCAGAAACCACGUGCUUCAGAGGCUCAGCCGUGUAUUUUGAUGCAUGAACCAGCAUGUCCAUAGCUUCGAGGUUCUGUCAGCCCACGAGGCCCCUGGAGUCUUGGGAGGAGGCAGAACCACGAAGUCCAUGAUGGAACGAGAGACAUGUGUGUCUGGGGAGCUUUGCCUUGCCCCACUGAGGGAGGGGUGGGAGGUAAAGUACUGAAGGCCACUCACCUCCUUGGCAUGGGUGGACAAGGGAGCUACAGGGUGCAGGUGGCCAGGGUGGAUGUCUUUGCAUAGUCAUUGGCUUUUUCCCUUUUCUUUUUUCUUUUUGGCAGUCCUGGGGAUUGAAGCCAAGACCUUCACACUGCUGUACACUCUCAGCCCUUUUUUGUUUUUAUUUUGAGGCAAGGUCUUCCAAAGUCACCAAGUUACAUGGGCUGGGCUAGAGCUUACAAUCCUCCUGCCUCAGCCUUCCAGAGUUACGGGGUUACAGGUCUGCGUCACCAAGGUCAUCGGCUCUUUGUGCCUUUUGAGAGUUUGCAGCGAAAGGCCUGGGGUGGCCCAGAGUCAGCAAAGCCAUGGAGGGAAUAGGAGUUGGCCACAUGCAAAAGAAAGCGAGGCCACGCUGGACACGUUGCCCUGGCCUGCAUGUUUCCUGCAGCCUUGAGGCAAAGACAAACUGCAAAACGGAGUGGUUGCAGGUCACCUUUGAGCUCCAAGCUCAUCCCAAAGCUUCCCCUUUGGACAACUCUUCCCUGGAAGCAGAGCAACACGGCUCUUACGGUGUCCAAGCAGAGCAGCUGUCUCAUAGAUGUGCGAUGCAAGUCAGGGAGAUGGUUGUUUCUUCCAUUCCGGAGAAUCAUUCAGCAAAAUCUCUGGAGCCUUCAUUGGCUGGACCAGGCCAGAAGGAGCUGCCCAGGCCCUGCUGUGGCCCCAGGGCCUGCUGUCCAGGAGACACAAAGAGGGCCGAGGGGCGGAACCCGGAUGUGUUGCAGCGUCACAGCACCACAGAGAGGCACCAGUGGGCUCAGCCUCAGCUGCGCCUGCCCAAGGCCAGGCUUGCAGCUCCCUUCAAGGUGCACACAGACCCCGGCCUCCUGCCCAGUCCCCGAGCCUGCUUGCCUCCUAAAGAGCAAGAUGUCAGAAGGAAGGCAGCACCGAAGAUGUGCAAAUGAAGGGCGGAGAAAGAGAAAACUCCUGGCCAGGGGAUGGAGAUCUGCGUUGUACCAUGGAUCCAGUUAUACCUGAGACAAGUUACCACUGGGCUUUGCAGUAGAGGCCUCCAGAGUCCACCUGACAUCGACCACCUUGAUCCACCAGGGGUGGUGGAACCCAGCAGCGACAUUGACACGAAGCCACCGGGAAAAGGCCUGGCGGGAGCUGGCUACAAUGUUGAUGAAUUGUGGCAAGAAUUGAAUCCAUUCUCUUUAUAUAGCAGACCUCAGAAGCCACAAACCCAGGCAUUAAAGCCCGGGGUUGUGCCACUGGACUCUAAGGUUCAAAUCCCAGCUCUACCAGUUACCAGCUGUGAACAGGGCCCUGGGAAGGCUCCUAUAUCUGUCUCUGGCUCUGCUUCCCAUAAAAUGUUGGGAGAUUUUCAGCACUAAAUGCAUAUAACUUAGCAAGGACAGAGUGAUUUCUGAUUUUAUUAUAACAAAUAUAAAUUUAUGACUUGGUAUUUAUUGGUACCAAGCACACAUACAUUAAUUUAUUAUGUGUAUUACACCCCCGAUUUUCACAAGCAACUCUGUAUAGAGAGAAGAACUCUCGGUCACAUCCUACAGAUGAGGAAACUGAGGCCCAGGGAGGCUAAGUCCAGGUUAAGGUUAAGCUCAAGUUCCCAUGGAGUCAGGACUGGGAAUCUCAGCCGGAUGUGACUGGCUCCAAACGUCAUUCUCUUUGUGCUGCACUGGCCAGAUUGGCUUCUCUCAGCUCCCCAGCCAGUGUGGACCGGAAGCGAGUUCAGCUGGGCACGGCUGAGGAGGGUGGGUUGGGCUGGAAUCCCGCCCGCCCAUCCACCCCAGCCACGAGGACUCCAUCGGGCAACUGGGGUGGGUUAGCCUGGUCUUAUACUCAGCAUGCCAGGGCUGUAGAAGUUCACGUGCCCACAACCAUGUGACCUUCCCAGGCAAGCGGGAUCCAGUUACAUCGCAGCAGUGGCCCCAAGGAACAAACACAGCUUGUGUCUUCCUCCAAGGGCUUAUUUCCUUUGUCUUGUGAGCAUUGAAAAAUGAAAGGAAUGAUAAGGAUUUGAUGGGGGGGUGCCCUGGAAAAUUCUGCAGAACUUGGGUAACUCAUCCAGAGGAAAGCAAGGGGGAGUUUUCCAACCAAAUCCAAAGGCAGAGAAACCCAACACGAAGGCCUGAGCCCUGUGAGGUCUCCUGGAUUCCUAGGUUCUCUUUAGAAGGCACAGAGGCCCCAGGCCUGGGGCGGAAGUCCCAUAACCCAGUACUGCCACCAGGCUCCUGUGGACAGACCACGAAAUCUCUCCAGGGCUCAGCUUCCUUGGCUACUCUGCAUCAGUAAUGCCAACUCCCAGGCUCUGGGUUGUUACAAAGAAAUGAGAAACUGUGUGUAGACAGUGGUUCUGCUGGGGGGAUUAACACCCUUGGGGACAUAUGGCAACGUCUGGAAACUUUUUUAGUUGUCACACUGGGAAAAGCAACUGGUGAGUGAAGACCGAGGACACUGCCACACACCACACAGUGCCCAGGACACCCUGCCAAAGAAUGGCCCUCUCCAAAGACCCAGGGUGCUGUGGCUGAGCAAGUGCUGGUGUAGAGUCUCAAAUGUUUAGUUCACAUGCUGAUGUUGGUUUUACUGUUCCAUUGGCGCGCAUGUGGGAAGGGGGACAGGAGAACAGGGUGGCCCAGGAAGAAGGCAGAGCUUGCAUGCCAGCUGCCCCUGGAGACAGAUCUGCUGUCCUCCUUCAGACAAUGUUCACAACCCCUGCCCUCAGGAAGUGUUUGGUCCAGAAGGAGAGACAGCCAGCAGACGAAGCAAGCACUUAAAGAAUACUGGUUCCAAAUAUCCACCAAAAGUGAUGAACGGAGGAUGGUGAUUCAAAAGGAGUGAGGUUUGGACACAGAGGAGUCUUGACAUUAUGCUGAGUGGGAGAAGCCAUCGCUGUGUGACUGCAUUGUUACCAAAAGAGCAGGCAGAUCCUCAGACUGAAAGUAGCUGGUGGUUCCCUGAGCUGAAAGAGUUGAGGAAAAAGGCAGAGAGACCGCUAGUGGCUAUAGAAUUUCCUUCUGGGCCAAUGAGAAUGGUAGUGCUGGCUGCCCAGCUCAAUAAUAUACUGCAUGCCAUGGGACUGCACGCUUUAAUGUGUGAACUGGGAGCUACAUGAAUGAAAGCUUAAUAAAGCCAUUAUAAAUAACAAUAAUACUGAUGAAUGGCUAUACUGAUGAAUGAAAUAAGCAACCAGCAGGGCCAUUGUGCUCAGGGGGGAUACAGAUGGCAGGUGACAUCUAAGGAAGAGACAGAGACUAAGUUCUGGUGCAGGGGACAACAUGAUGUGCAGAGUCCCCAGGGCAUGAGCCCGAUGUGUGGUCCUACAAGGGAUCAGCUGCAUGCACCGUGGAGUGGGAGCUGCAGAGAAAGGUGCAGAGGGCUGACUGGGCAGUGACCUUAGGGACC
Long non-coding RNA from Heterocephalus glaber (naked mole-rat), 4240 nucleotides. NCBI's taxonomy places the organism in Eukaryota, Metazoa, Chordata, Mammalia, Rodentia, Bathyergidae. The record is from Ensembl.